GCCGGGUGCGGUCGUGCACGCCUGUAAUCCCAAGGGCUCAGGAGGCUGAGGUAGGAGGAUGUCAGUUCAAAACCAGCCUCAGAAACUCAGUGAGACCCUGUCUCUA
RNAcentral lists this small RNA (106 nucleotides) under Marmota monax (woodchuck). Lineage: Eukaryota; Metazoa; Chordata; Mammalia; Rodentia; Sciuridae. The record is from RNAcentral.